UNNGUAUACAUAAUUUAAUUAAAAUGCUAGGCCGUGACCCU
RNAcentral lists this transfer RNA (41 nucleotides) under Plethodon caddoensis (Caddo Mountain salamander). Its description in RNAcentral is "partial tRNA-His". The record is from RNAcentral. Lineage: Eukaryota; Metazoa; Chordata; Amphibia; Caudata; Plethodontidae.